This 279-nucleotide ribosomal RNA is filed under the name uncultured bacterium. RNAcentral describes it as "partial 16S ribosomal RNA". It matches the Rfam family "Bacterial small subunit ribosomal RNA", at positions 506 to 784 of the family's 1533-position model. The record is from RNAcentral.
UGCCAGCAGCCGCGGUAAUACGGGGGGCGCAAGCGUUAAUCGGAAUUGCUGGGCGUAAAGCGCGCGUAGGCGGUUUGUUAAGUCAGAUGUGAAAGCCCUGGGCUCAACCUGGGAAUUGCGUUUGAAACUGCUGUGCUUGAGUCUCGGAGAGGUUGGCGGAAUUCCAGGUGUAGGAGUGAAAUCCGUAGAUAUCUGGAGGAACACCGGUGGCGAAGGCGGCCAACUGGACGAGUACUGACGCUGAGGUACGAAAGCGUGGGGAGCAAACAGGAUUAGAUA